RNAcentral lists this ribosomal RNA (460 nucleotides) under uncultured bacterium. RNAcentral describes it as "partial 16S ribosomal RNA". It matches the Rfam family "Bacterial small subunit ribosomal RNA", at positions 338 to 795 of the family's 1533-position model. The record is from RNAcentral.
CCUACGGGCGGCAGCAGUGAGGAAUAUUGGUCAAUGGCCGGAAGGCUGAACCAGCCAUGCCGCGUGAAGGUCAGUGCCCUCUGGGCGUUAAACUUCUUUUGUGCGGGAGCAAUAAUGGUCACGUGUGGCCAGACGAGAGUACCGUACGAAUAAGCAUCGGCUAACUCCGUGGCAGCAGCCGCGGUACUACGGGGGAUGCACGCGUUAUCCGGAUUUAUUGGGUUUAAAGGGUGCGUAGGCUGUGAGGUAAGUCAGCGGUGAAAUGCCCCCGCUCAACGGGGUGAAGUGCCAUUGAUACUGCCGUGCUGGAAUGCGGAUGCCGUGGGAGGAAUGUGUGGUGUAGCGGUGAAAUGCGUAGAUAUACGGAGGAACACCAGUGGCGAAGGCGGCCUGCUGGACAUUAACUGACGCUGAGGCGCGAAAGCGUGGGGAGCAAACAGGAUUAGAUACCCCGGUAGUC